AAUCCCGUGAACCAUCGAGUCUUUGAACGCAAGUUGCGCCCGAAGCCUUCGGGCCGAGGGCACGCCUGCCUGGGCGUCACGCAUNGCGUCGCCCCCUCCCUCGAGCUCCGCGGAGCCGGGGGUGCGGAGAUUGGCCUCCCGUGUGCCCCGUCGUGCGGCCGGCCC
Molecule: ribosomal RNA, 165 nt
Filed under: Justicia anselliana
Lineage: Eukaryota; Viridiplantae; Streptophyta; Magnoliopsida; Lamiales; Acanthaceae
Description: 5.8S ribosomal RNA
Rfam family: 5.8S ribosomal RNA (bases 1-79)
Source: RNAcentral